CCUACGGGAGGCAGCAGUGAGGAAUAUUGGUCAAUGGACGAGAGUCUGAACCAGCCAAGUAGCGUGAAGGAUGACUGCCCUAUGGGUUGUAAACUUCUUUUAUAUGGGAAUAAAAUGUUCCACGUGUGGGAUUUUGUAUGUACCAUAUGAAUAAGGAUCGGCUAACUCCGUGCCAGCAGCCGCGGUAAUACGGAGGAUCCGAGGGUUAUCCGGAUUUAUUGGGUUUAAAGGGAGCGUAGGUGGAUUGUUAAGUCAGUUGUGAAAGUUUGCGGCUCAACCGUAAAAUUGCAGUUGAAACUGGCAGUCUUGAGUACAGUAGAGGUGGGCGGAAUUCGUGGUGUAGCGGUGAAAUGCUUAGAUAUCACGAAGAACUCCGAUUGCGAAGGCAGUUCACUGGACUGCAACUGACACUGAGGCUCGAAAGUGUGGGUAUCAAACAGGAUUAGAUACCCGAGUAGUC
RNAcentral lists this ribosomal RNA (460 nucleotides) under uncultured bacterium. Its description in RNAcentral is "partial 16S ribosomal RNA". It matches the Rfam family "Bacterial small subunit ribosomal RNA", at positions 338 to 795 of the family's 1533-position model. The record is from RNAcentral.